This 468-nucleotide ribosomal RNA is filed under the name uncultured bacterium. Its description in RNAcentral is "partial 16S ribosomal RNA". It matches the Rfam family "Bacterial small subunit ribosomal RNA", at positions 28 to 507 of the family's 1533-position model. The record is from RNAcentral.
GACGAACGCUGGCGGCGUGCUUAACACAUGCAAGUCGAACGGAAAGGCCCUGCUUUUGUGGGGUGCUCGAGUGGCGAACGGGUGAGUAACACGUGAGUAACCUGCCCUUGACUUUGGGAUAACUUCAGGAAACUGGGGCUAAUACCGCAUAUGAGCUCCUUCUGCAUGGUGGUGGUUGGAAAGUUGCGGCGGUUGGGGAUGGACUCGCGGUUUAUCAUCUUGUUGGUGAGGUGGUGGCUUACCAAGGCUCCGACGGGUAGCCGGCCUGCGAGGGUGACCGGGCACAUUGGGACUGAGAAAGGACCAAGACUCCUACGGGAGGCAGCAGUGGAGAAUAGUGCAAAAUGGGCGGAAGCCUGAAGCAGCAACGCCGCGUGCGGGAUGACGGCCUUCGGGGUGUAAACCGCGUUCGCCUGUGACGAAGAGUGAGUGACGGUAAUGGGUAAAGAAGCAACGGCUAACUACGUG